UACGAGAGCCUCAAGCGUUAUCCGGAAUUACUGGGCGUAAAGGGUGCGUAGGUGGUGAUGUUAGUCGUCCGUGAAAGCCUGGAGCUUAACUUCAGAUCCGCGAACGAAACGGCAUUACUUGAGAGUGUGAGGGGUCUCUGGAACUCAUGGUGUAGGGGUGAAAUCCGUUGAUAUCAUGGGGAGCACCAAAAGCGAAGGCAAGAGACUGGCACAUAUCUGACACUGAAGCACGAAAGCGUGGGUAGCGAAUGGG
RNAcentral lists this ribosomal RNA (253 nucleotides) under uncultured prokaryote. RNAcentral describes it as "partial 16S ribosomal RNA". It matches the Rfam family "Bacterial small subunit ribosomal RNA", at positions 524 to 776 of the family's 1533-position model. The record is from RNAcentral.